CAAUAGUGUAUAUUAAAGUUGUUGCAGUUAAAAAGCUCGUAGUUGGAUUUGUGGCGUACGGUGUGUUCCGGGCACUUGUUGUCUGAGUAACCUGCUGUUGCCAUCCUUGGGUGGAACCUGUGUGGCAUUAGGUUGUCGUGCAGGGGAUGCCCAUCAUUUACUGUGAAAAAAUUAGAGUGUUCAAAGCAGGCUUAUGCCGUUGAAUAUAUUAGCAUGGAAUAAUGAGAUAGGACUUUUUUGCUAUUUUGUUGGUUUGCGCAAAGAGGUAAUGAUUAAUAGGGACAGUUGGGGGUAUUCGUAUUCCAUUGUCAGAGGUGAAAUUCUUGGAUUUUUGGAAGACGAACUACUGCGAAAGCAUUUACCAAGGAUGUUUUCAUUAA
RNAcentral lists this ribosomal RNA (380 nucleotides) under uncultured eukaryote. Its description in RNAcentral is "partial 18S ribosomal RNA". It matches the Rfam family "Eukaryotic small subunit ribosomal RNA", at positions 592 to 976 of the family's 1831-position model. The record is from RNAcentral.